This is a long non-coding RNA of Dermochelys coriacea (leatherback sea turtle), 130 nucleotides long. RefSeq lists it as uncharacterized. Lineage: Eukaryota; Metazoa; Chordata; Testudines; Dermochelyidae. The record is from RefSeq and is a predicted model, not a curated record. The transcript is spliced from 4 exons.
GUAGAUAUUUGCUGCUAGCAGUCGCCAAUCGGCUACAUGCUAUUGUAGGCAGUUUCAUCCUACCAUCCCCAUCCAUAAACUUAUCAAGCUCAGUCUUGAAGCCAGUUAGGAUUUUUGCCCCCCACAGCUC